Molecule: long non-coding RNA, 664 nt
Organism: Beta vulgaris subsp. vulgaris (sugar beet)
Lineage: Eukaryota; Viridiplantae; Streptophyta; Magnoliopsida; Caryophyllales; Amaranthaceae
Exons: 2
Source: RefSeq, a predicted model, not a curated record
CCCGUGCCCCCAAGUUUCCGGCACGCGAAUACUGGACUAGAAAUUGUAAAGGUUGAAAUCUGCUAGGGUUUUCCUUAUCGUGGAAAUUAAUAGAUAAAAAUUUGGGAGUGCACAUUUUAUUCUCUUGGUCCGCUUUAAGUUGAGUUCUUUGCAUUAAAAACAUGAAGAAAUUUUCAGGGCGAUGGCAUUGAUGAAUCUGAAGACGUAGAAGAUGAAGAACCAAUUUUUGUUAUGACAGAUGAAUGGAGCGAGUUCUUUGCAAAAUCUGAAGCCAGGAGGAGAGAAGCUAAGAAAUUAGCCAAGAAACAGGGGAAGACCUGAAAAGAUCUUGGGAGGCAACCGCAGUUUUAGCCUAUAUCCUUUCUUUCCAAACCGAGCUCCAAGUUGCAAGACAAUAUCAUAUUGAUGGGCAACUGUAUUUGAACUGGUAGUUUAUCUUCUGUGAUUGAGGAAGAAUAAGAUGAUUUCAAUCUUUCAACAUUGCAACAAUUCUUCUUGUAAAUCUUGACUGGUAUGUGAUUGUGGAUUAUAGGCUAGAAUGGAUGUUCAAAUGAGCGUCAAGUUUUAGUGGAUCAAUCUUGCAAGUUGCACAUUAUUGUAAUAAACGUGAAAUUUUGCAAGAUUCCAUGAAGCAAUGGCAAUAGAAAUCUUAGAUUUGACUCUU